AUGUUUCCCCUUUGGUAACCAUAAGUUUGGUUUUGAGAUCUCUGAAUCUGUUUCUGUUUUGUGAUUUUAUUGUGUCCAUUCUAUUAGAUUCUACAUAUUAGUGAACUCAUAUGAUAUUUGUCUUUUGUCUGACUUCAUUUAGUAUGAUAAUUUCUAGGUCUAUCCCUGUUGCUAAAAAGAGAAUCAUUUCAUUCUUUUUCAUGGCUAAUGCUCCACUGUGUGUAUGUACCACAUCUUCUUUAUCCAGUCUUCUGUUGAUGGACAUUUAGUUUGCGUCCAUUGUAAAUAGUGCUGCAAUGAACAUUCGGGUGCAUGUAUCUUUUUGAAUUAUGGUGUUUGCUGGCUAUAUGCCCAGGAAUGGGAUUGCUAGAUCAUAUGGCAGCUCUAUAUUUAUUUUUUUAAGGAACCUCCAUACUGUUCUCCACAGUGGUCAUACCAACUUACAUUGCCACCAGAGUAUAGGAGGGUUCCCUCUUCUCUAUACCCACUCCAUCAUUUCUUGUUUGUAGAUUUUUUCUUUUUAGGACUGCCCCUGUGGCAUAUGGAAGUUCCUGGGCUAAGGGUCGAAUUGGAGCUGCAGCUGCUGGCCCAUGCUACAGCUACAGCAAUGCCAGAUCCGAGCCACAUCUGCAACGUAUGCCACAGCUUGCUGCAACACCAGAUUGAAAUGGAUACUAGUCGGGUUCUUAACCUGCUGAACCACACUGGAGACUCCUGUAGACUUUUUGAUGAUGGCCAUUCUGACUGGUGUGAGGUGAUACCACAUUAUAGUUUUGAUUUACCUUUCUCUAAUAAUUAGUGAUGUUGAGCAUCUUUUCAUGUGCUUUUUGGCCAUCUGUCUGUCUUCUUUGGAGAAAUGACUGUUUAGAUCUCCUGACCAAUGUUUAAUUGGGUUACUUGUUUAUUUGAUAUAAAGAUGUGUGAGAUGUUUAUAUAUUUUGGAGCUUAAUCACCUUUUGGUCACGUUGUUUGCAAAUAUUUUCUCCCAUUCUGUGGGUUGUCUUUUAAUUUGGUAAUGGCUUGCUUUGCUGUGCCAAGACUUUUAGGUUUAACUAGGUCCCAUUUGUUUGUUUUUAUUUUCAUUGUCUAGGAGGAAGACAAAGAAAAGAUAUUGUUGAGAUUUAUGUCAAAGAGUGUUCCACCUAUGUUUUUCUCCAGGACUUUUAUAGUAUCUGGUCUAAUAUUUAGGCGUUUAAUCCAUUUUGAGUUUAAUUUUUGUGAACAGUUUUAGAGGGUGUUCUAAUUUCAUUCUUUUACAUGUAGCUGUCUAGUUUUCCCAGCACCGCUAAUUGAAGAGACCAUAUCGUUUGAAGUCAGGGAGCCUGAAUCCCUUCAGAUUCGUUUUUCUUUAUCAAGAUUGCUUUGGUUAUUCAGAGAUCUUGAGGUUUUUAAUGACAGUUUGUCUUUUCUGUUUUUACAUCCUCACUGUGGUGACUGGAGCAGAAACUGGAAACUAAGCAAAGAAAUUUUAUUUCUGUAUACAUAUUUUCCUUUAAUAGCCACCAACAAGACGUUUUCAUUUUCUCUCCCUGACCCUGUCCACCAGUUAUGUUAGCUUACACACAUACUGCUAUAGCAACAUAUAUAAAUAUGUAUGAUACAUUUAUACACACAUACAGACAUUCUAAAGCACUGUAAAGGUACAGACUAUGCUUUAGCACAAUUGGGGCCCUCAGAUAUAUCACUUAAAAUGAUCACUGGUUUGCUUUACACAAGACUUUCAGUGGGCUUGGUGUGGCCAUCAGUCCCCAGUUCCAGAGAGAAGGAAGGAGGACAAAAUGGGACAGUAUCUUCAGAGUGAGGUCAGAACACUUUUUUGGAGAUCAGGAAGGAAUAGAAACAGGAGGUACAGGCUGAGCAUGAGAUGGCAUCUCGGAGUCACCUCUCACCACAUGGAUUCAAAUAACUCAGGUGCUGCAGUGUAGACUGAUGCCCAGCCUGAUUGUGACUCAGCUGUGCUGGCCCCCAGUUAGGUCGUAGGGCCCAGGCCACACUGUCCAGCAGGGCACUGCUGCUCAGUCCUGUGCUUUUAGAUCUGCCCAGGAGCUCCAGUGUCGGGACCUCAUGUCCCAUUCCUAGGAGGCAGGCCCUCCUCCCCCCGAGUUGACCUGCUGAGGAUGGGUGCUGAGGUGAGAAAUGUGCUGUUGCUGGUUCCCAUGCCUUAGGCGUGUUCAGAAGCAGUGUCACGAGGUCCUCUACAAGCUAUGCAUGUUUUGCUUAGCGCUGGGCCAAGUGGGCCAGGUUAUUCCGCAACUGCGGCUGGUUAUGCCACAAGUACAGGGAAGGCCCUCUGCCUUUCGCCCUGCCCCACCAGGCUACAUCUCUGACUUCUUUCAUCAGGUGUAGAGGAGGGGACCCUGGUCCUCCUCAGCAGACAGGGAGCUGUGCAAAAGGCGGGCAGGCCCAUCCUUCCUGCUGUUUUGAGUGGCUUCGAGUCUUGUAUGGCUCCUGAAAGGCAAGGGUUACGGGACUGGAGUGCAUGGCAGAGCCCUUAGGGAUUUCACCUGGAGACCAAAAUAACACAAAGUAAGAGCCCAUUAUCAGGCCCUGCUGGUGGCUGACUGAGGCUGGAGAGAGAGCUGAGUGGCGACAGCUCCUGAGGCUGGAGAGAGAGCUGAGUGCUGACAUGAGCCAGGAGCACAGUGAGAGGCUGUUAAGACGAUGAGCUAAGGGGAUGUGCUGAGGUCUGGAGGAGCGCCUGGUGCCACAGGUCAGAGGAAAAGCUUCCCACCGCCUCCUGUGGCGAUACCUCUGCUCAAAGCCACUGCACAUCAGGUGGCUGGAUGCUAUGCUCCCCCUUCAGGGACCAGGUCACUCUCCAAUUCACUUUGGAGAAAAAGGAUGGCUUUUGUGAUCUCCCAGGACAAGACGUGCUUGGUAUGAAACAUGCACAUGUACAAACAGCCUGUUGUAGGAAGAAGAGGACAGGGAGGUCCUCCUAUUCAGUUUUUGUUUCAUUUACUUGAUGAGAAAAGGGGCGGGGGGCGAGUCAGCAUCAUCUAAGUCUAGUCCCACCUCCUACAGAUGAGGGGCAGCAGGAUCACCGAGACUGGGGCCAGCCAAAGCCACACAGCCAGUUAGUGACAAGCCUGGAAUUAGAAACCAGGCUUUGGGCCCUUCCCAAUGCCUAGGGGAAGUAGAGAGGAAUUCUAAACUGGGGAGCCAGCAGUAAGAGAGGCAGUUGGGUUACCUUUGCUGGGACAGGAAUAAGGCUUUAUGGAGGCAAUCUUGUAAGUGUUCUUCUAAAGAGGCUCAGGAAAGAAAGGAAUUCAUCAGAGAAAAAC
Molecule: long non-coding RNA, 3284 nt
Filed under: Sus scrofa (pig)
Lineage: Eukaryota; Metazoa; Chordata; Mammalia; Artiodactyla; Suidae
Description: lncRNA (ENSSSCG00000055905.1)
Source: RNAcentral